This 72-nucleotide transfer RNA is filed under the name Clostridiales bacterium. Its description in RNAcentral is "tRNA-Arg". It matches the Rfam family "tRNA". Rfam says of the family: Transfer RNA (tRNA) molecules are approximately 80 nucleotides in length. Their secondary structure includes four short double-helical elements and three loops (D, anti-codon, and T loops). Lineage: Bacteria; Bacillati; Bacillota; Clostridia; Eubacteriales. The record is from RNAcentral.
AUGCUCGUAGCGAAAAGGAUAUCGUGUAUCCCUCCUAAGGAUAAGUUGCGGGUUCAAUUCCCGCCGAGCAUA